UGUUGUUGAUGCAAUUCUUCUAAAUGAACCUGAUUUAUGUACCGAGCUUGAAAAAGAAAUAAUCGACAGAAUAGUCAAAGAUGAAGUGAUGAUCUACAAAAAGACUAAAGCAGAGUUGCGGAAUCAGGAACAGCCGUUUGAUAUGGGGAAAAAGAAGAAAAGGAACAAAAAUGUCCCUGCUGUUGUGUGGUAUCCGACAAGGGUUAUCGAAUUUCUUGGUCGGCGCACACCCAUUAUCCUCAAGGAAAAGGAUACACGGUGCUCCCUAGUAGCAAUAUGCAACGUUCUCCUGCUUGGAGAGAAAAUAACCCUCGAUUUAGAUAUCAAGAAAGUGUUGGAGAGCCAUCUCAUCCAUCUUGUCCAGAGGCCUCUUUUGUGUGGCAAUACACAAAUGCAGUUGGAACAGAACUUGGAACUAUCAGAGUUCAAUAAACAAGUUCUUGGUGUAUUGCCGAAGCUUACAUGCAGCUUAUACUUUGAUGUGACAUUUUCUAGCUCUUGUGGCUUAGAGAAGACCUUUGAAACUGCACUGUUUGGUUUUCUUGGUGUCCCUCUACGCCAUGGCUGGUUGGUAGAUCCCCAGGAUGCUGAGUUGGACUCCUCGAUAUGUGGAAGCUCCUACUCCAAACUUUCGUAUAAUCUUGCUAUCUAUGAAUCAAUUCGACCCCAAGACAAAUUCAGGGCCUCAAAAGCAUGGUCGAUAUGAAGAUGAUAUGUUCUAUACAGCGCUUGCAUUCUCUAAAACUGGAUCAGAAAAAGAACUUGAUUCUACUUCUUGGCCCUCAGCUAACCCGAUAUGGAUUCUCUUCCUUACAUAAUGACCUCAGAGCGUUACAACCUACUGUCCUGAUCUGGAAUGAAAACUUAAUUACAAUAUCUAAGUUUGAAGACAAAAUAUAUGUGUUGCUGAACGAUUUGUCCUUGUUGAGAACUGAAACCGAUGCUGUGUGGGAAAGGUUAACGCAGGAGUGGCACCAAUUGAGGAGAAGCUUAUGCAACAUCGUUUGAGAUGGUUUGGACAUAUCCAACGAAGAUCUGAAGAGGCACCAGUGCAUAUCGGAAUAAUUAGGCGUCCCGAGAAUGUGAAGAGAGGUAGAGGUCGACCAACCUUGACGUGGACAGAGGCUGUGAAGAGGGACCUGAAGGAGUGGAAUAUUGAUAAAGAGCUCGCCGUGGAUAGGAAGGGGUGGAAGUGUGCAAUUCAUGUGCCAGAACCUUGAUUUAUAGUUUCGCUUUUCCUCUUUAAUCGUUUGACCUUUUCUUGUGCCCAUUUAGAUCUUGCUGGUUCUUGUGGGUUUUAUCUCUUUUAUGUGUUUCCCCGUUUCGUCGUUUUUCGGUUCUCCUUUGCCUUUGUUUCCCCUUUUUUCUCUUUGGGGGUUGAGCUCUGAGGUUUUCAUACGGGGUUUCAUCUCUAGCCCACCCCAACGUGCUUGGGACAAAAAGGCUUUGUUGUUGUUGUUGUUGUUGUUUAUUAGGCAAAUGGUGAUGGAGUUUUUGUUGAUUGUAACUUUGUGCCUACAGAUUCUAAGAUUCAAUCAGUACUGCCACUGACGAAAACUGAAAGAAAGAAAAGGAUAAAAGAGAAGAUGGAUCUGAAGAAGAAAGAGAAGGAUAGUAACAAGGACAAAGAUGAUGAGGAUACCAAGGAUAAAGAUGAUGGGAAAGAAGAGGAUAGUAACGAGGACAGAGAUGAUGAGGAGACCGAGGAGAAAGAUGAUGGGAAUGUUGCCCCUCAAACCUAUUUCUUGCAGGGCAGGCAUAUCAACUUGAAUGUUAGGCCUAUCAAUUUUCUUGGACUAUCUACCCAUGUUAUCCACCAGAUAAAUGAUGGCCCAUGCGCCCUUAUUGCAGUCUGCAAUGUUCUAUUCUCAGGGGGACAUCUCUUUUGAACCACAUGAAACUGUGGUGUCAAUGGAGUAUCUACUUGGCCUUGUCCUCGCUCUUCUUGGAGGAAGUGUGAAAAUGCAGGACUAUUCUGAUGAAAGAAAAAGUCAGAUAUUGAAUGUGGUGAAGAGUCUGGCCGGAGGGUUUGAUAUGGAUGUUAUCUUCACCAGAACGGAUGGUUUUACAAUGACUCCAGAGUGGUUGCUUCUGGAUUGCUUAGAUCUCAACCUUCGACAUGGUUGGAUUGCUGCUAGGGAUUUGUUGACCGGACCCGAAGUAUCAUUUGAAAGUCUUACGUUGGCUUCUAAUGAACCUGGAUUUCCACAUGCGGAGGAGAUCAAGAAUUUUCUAAGGGGACCUCAACUUACUCCCAUUGGCUUGGUUUCGCUGCAAGAGGACUUUGUUGAGAAUGUUCCGUGCAUUCUGUUCUGGAACAAGCAUUACCAUACUAUAGUUAUGAUCAAUGGAGUAUUAAAUUCUCUAGUCACUGAUUCUAAUUAUUUAGAAACUCGUGUAGUUUGGCAGACGCUUGACGG
This 2420-nucleotide unclassified non-coding RNA is filed under the name Zea mays. RNAcentral describes it as "misc RNA Zm00001eb033260". The record is from RNAcentral. Lineage: Eukaryota; Viridiplantae; Streptophyta; Magnoliopsida; Poales; Poaceae.